RNAcentral lists this ribosomal RNA (497 nucleotides) under uncultured bacterium. RNAcentral's name for it is "partial 16S ribosomal RNA". It matches the Rfam family "Bacterial small subunit ribosomal RNA", at positions 28 to 507 of the family's 1533-position model. The record is from RNAcentral.
GAUGAACGCUGGCGGCGUGCCUAAUACAUGCAAGUCGAGCGAACAGACGCUGAGCUUGCUCCUCUGACGUUUGCGGCGGACGGGUGAGUCACGCGUGUAUCACCUACCUAUAUUUCUGGGAUCAUUUCGUAAAUCCGGAUCUAAUACCGGAUAAUAUCUUGAACCGCGUGGUUCAUUAGUUAAUGACGGCUUUUCUGUCUCUUAUAGAUGGUUCCGCGCCGCAUUAGAUAGUUGGUAGGGUAACGGCCUACCAAGGCUACGAUGCGUAGCCGACCUGAGAGGAGGAUAGGCCACACUGGAACUGAGACACGGUCCAGACUCCUACGGGAGGCAGCAGUAGGGAAUCUUCGGCAAUGGGCGAAAGCAUGACGGAGCAACGCCGCGUGAGUGAUGAAGGUCUUCGGAUCGUAAAGCUCUGUUAUUAGGGAAGAACAGAUGUGGAAUUAAAUAUGCACGUCUUGACGGUACCUAAUAAGAAAGCAACGGCUAACUACGUG